UAGGGAAUCUUCCGCAAUGGACGCAAGUCUGACGGAGCAACGCCGCGUGAGUGAAGAAGGAUUUCGGUUCGUAAAACUCUGUUGUUAGAGAAGAACAGCGCAUAGAGUAACUGUUAUGCGUGUGACGGUAUCUAACCAGAAAGCCACGGCUAACUACGUGCCAGCAGCCGCGGUAAUACGUAGGUGGCAAGCGUUGUCCGGAUUUAUUGGGCGUAAAGCGAGCGCAGGCGGUCAAUUAAGUCUGAUGUGAAAGCCCCCGGCUCAACCGGGGAGGGUCAUUGGAAACUGGUUGACUUGAGUGCAGAAGAGGAGAGUGGAAUUCCAUGUGUAGCGGUGAAAUGCGUAGAUAUAUGGAGGAACUCCAGUGGCGAAGGCGACUCUCUGGUCUGUAACUGACGCUGAGGCUCGAAAGCGUGGGUAGCAAACAGG
This 429-nucleotide ribosomal RNA is filed under the name Bacteroidota bacterium. Its description in RNAcentral is "Bacteroidetes bacterium partial 16S ribosomal RNA". It matches the Rfam family "Bacterial small subunit ribosomal RNA", at positions 355 to 776 of the family's 1533-position model. Lineage: Bacteria; Pseudomonadati; Bacteroidota. The record is from RNAcentral.